AGAGUUUGAUCCUGGCUCAGGAUGAACGCUGGCGGCGUGCCUAACACAUGCAAGCCGAGCGAGAAAUGUAUUUAUGAAACUUCGGUAGAUUAGAUACAUGGAAAGCGGCGGACGGGUGAGUAACGCGUAGGCAACCUGCCCCUUGCAGAGGGAUAGCCAUUGGAAACGAUGAUUAAAACCUCAUAACGCUGCAUUGUCACAUGAUGGAGCAGCCAAAGAUUUAUCGGCAAGGGAUGGGCCUGCGUCUGAUUAGCUAGUUGGUGGGGUAACGGCCUACCAAGGCGACGAUCAGUAGCCGACCUGAGAGGGUGAUCGGCCACAUUGGAACUGAGACACGGUCCAAACUCCUACGGGAGGCAGCAGUGGGGAAUAUUGCACAAUGGGCGAAAGCCUGAUGCAGCAACGCCGCGUGAAGGAAGAAGGCUUUCGGGUCGUAAACUUCUGUCCUAGGGGAAGAUAAUGACGCAACCCUUGGAGGAAGCCCCGGCUAACUACGUGCCAGCAGCCGCGGUAAUACGUAGGGGGCAAGCGUUAUCCGGAAUUAUUGGGCGUAAAGAGUGCGUAGGUGGUAACUUAAGCGCGGGGUUUAAGGCAAUGGCUUAACCAUUGUUCGCCCCGUGAACUGGGAUACUUGAGUGCAGGAGAGGAAAGCGGAAUUCCUAGUGUAGCGGUGAAAUGCGUAGAUAUUAGGAGGAACACCAGUGGCGAAGGCGGCUUUCUGGACUGAAACUGACACUGAGGCACGAAAGUGUGGGGAGCAAACAGGAUUAGAUACCCUGGUAGUCCACACCGUAAACGAUG
This 801-nucleotide ribosomal RNA is filed under the name uncultured bacterium. RNAcentral's name for it is "bacterial SSU rRNA". It matches the Rfam family "Bacterial small subunit ribosomal RNA", at positions 8 to 811 of the family's 1533-position model. The record is from RNAcentral.